CAGCAGUCAAAAUUCAAUGUUUUUGCAAUCAGCUUGAUAGUCCUAAAGCAGGAGAGGCUGGGAGAAGUGUCCUAAAACCUCCUGCUUGCUAGAAAGAGGUGGACAGACACAGGGGCCUCGUGGCACUGGGAGCUGGCUACAAGUUCUGGGUCUUGACUGAUCUACUGCUCACAAGUGUUAGGAUUUAAUCCAAACCUCAGCAUAAUGGUGAAACCAUCUCAGUGCACGUGGAGGCAGAGCAGUGUACAAGGCAGUAAACCGAAUCUGUUUGAAGUCAGAAGUGUUUCCACCAGAUUCAUGAGUCAGACCCAGGAAGGUUACGUCCAACAGUGAUUCCUCAAGGAGAUUCAGCAGCAUUUAUCCAACAUGACGAGCACGUUCCUACCUUUAGACAGAGAGGUGUUUCAGGGAGGACCUCCCCGGUAUCAGCAAGGCACUAUCAAUCUCUGCUCAUAAUGAAGCAUCAAGAGACAAAAGAUAGAAUGUGGAGCACUUCAGGAGACGGAUACCAUGACAUCCGCACCCUCGCAAGCAUUCAGACACAGCCGUCUGCAAGUUAAAAAGGGGUUGUUCAUCUUGAAAAGGCUUUUAUCCAGUAAUACAUUUUCCAAUCAAGUUUCUCUCCCCAUUGUCACGUUGUAUUG
Anser brachyrhynchus (Pink-footed goose) is the source of this 644-nucleotide long non-coding RNA. The record is from Ensembl. Lineage: Eukaryota; Metazoa; Chordata; Aves; Anseriformes; Anatidae.